This 594-nucleotide ribosomal RNA is filed under the name uncultured bacterium. RNAcentral describes it as "bacterial SSU rRNA". It matches the Rfam family "Bacterial small subunit ribosomal RNA", at positions 247 to 832 of the family's 1533-position model. The record is from RNAcentral.
AGUUGGUGGGGUAAAGGCCUACCAAGGCAACGAUGAGUAGCUGGUCUGAGAGGAUGAUCAGCCACACUGGGACUGGAACACGGCCCAGACUCCUACGGGAGGCAGCAGUGGGGAAUAUUGCGCAAUGGGCGAAAGCCUGACGCAGCAACGCCGUGUGAGGGAUGAAGGUUUUCGGAUCGUAAACCUCUGUCAGAAGGGAAGAACGUGCAAUGGUCUAAUAGGCCGUUGUAUUGACGGUACCUUCAAAGGAAGCACCGGCUAACUCCGUGCCAGCAGCCGCGGUAAUACGGAGGGUGCAAGCGUUAUUCGGAAUUACUGGGCGUAAAGCGCGCGUAGGCGGCCUUGUAAGUCAGGUGUGAAAUCCCACGGCUCAACCGUGGAACUGCACUUGAAACUGCGGGGCUUGAAUCCUGGAGAGGGUGGCGGAAUUCCUGGUGUAGGAGUGAAAUCCGUAGAUAUCAGGAGGAACACCGGUGGCGAAGGCGGCCACCUGGACAGGUAUUGACGCUGAGGUGCGAAAGUGCGGGGAGCAAACAGGAUUAGAUACCCUGGUAGUCCGCACUGUAAACGAUGGAUACUAGGUGUCGGGGACUU